This 393-nucleotide ribosomal RNA is filed under the name uncultured bacterium. Its description in RNAcentral is "partial 16S ribosomal RNA". It matches the Rfam family "Bacterial small subunit ribosomal RNA", at positions 523 to 918 of the family's 1533-position model. The record is from RNAcentral.
CUACGGAGGAUGCAAGCGUUAUCCGGAUUUAUUGGGUUUAAAGGGUGCGUAGGCGGUUUGCUAAGCGGGAGGUGAAAUGCCGGCGCUCAACGUCGGAAGUGCCUCCCGAACUGGUGGACUGGAAUGACUCUGCCGUGGGAGGAAUGUGUAGUGUAGCGGUGAAAUGCUUAGAGAUUACACAGAACACCGAUUGCGAAGGCAUCUCACGAAGGGUUGAUUGACGCUGAGGCACGAAAGCGUGGGGAUCAAACAGGAUUAGAUACCCUGGUAGUCCACGCAGUAAACGAUGAUGGCUAACCGCUGGUUUAUUCGGAUCAGUGGCCAAGCGAAAGCGAUAAGCCAUCCACCUGGGGAGUACGACCGCAAGGUUGAAACUCAAAGGAAUUGACGGGG